UCGAUGGGAAAUGCACUGAUCAUGUUUAUGGGUAAAUCCAAAAGCGGGGUGCUGCCAUGAUGAUGCUCGCCCUGUGUCUGUUGGCGGAAGGAGUCGUCACUACGAGCCACCACCUCUGUGUCUUGGCCACUGGACAGGAGGUUGUUGACAUCCAUCACCAUGUCUUCCAGGAAUUCCAGAUUCUGUGGUUUCGAACCUCCACAAGUAAGGGUGAUAGGGAAGACUGACACUGGUUUUAAAUGGACAGCACAAAGGAUGGGCCACAUUGUUCUUCCUGAGCUCUUAAACAGAGGAAAAUGGACAUACUCCAUACCAGACUUUGAUGUGAUCCUGACCUCCCUUGGUGUCUUCAGAAGUGUCCUGGUGGU
This is a long non-coding RNA of Gadus chalcogrammus (walleye pollock), 368 nucleotides long. RefSeq lists it as uncharacterized. Lineage: Eukaryota; Metazoa; Chordata; Actinopteri; Gadiformes; Gadidae. The transcript is spliced from 3 exons. The record is from RefSeq and is a predicted model, not a curated record.